This 2903-nucleotide ribosomal RNA is filed under the name Escherichia coli. RNAcentral describes it as "bacterial LSU rRNA". It matches the Rfam family "Bacterial large subunit ribosomal RNA". The record is from RNAcentral. Lineage: Bacteria; Pseudomonadati; Pseudomonadota; Gammaproteobacteria; Enterobacterales; Enterobacteriaceae.
UUAAGCGACUAAGCGUACACGGUGGAUGCCCUGGCAGUCAGAGGCGAUGAAGGACGUGCUAAUCUGCGAUAAGCGUCGGUAAGGUGAUAUGAACCGUUAUAACCGGCGAUUUCCGAAUGGGGAAACCCAGUGUGAUUCGUCACACUAUCAUUAACUGAAUCCAUAGGUUAAUGAGGCGAACCGGGGGAACUGAAACAUCUAAGUACCCCGAGGAAAAGAAAUCAACCGAGAUUCCCCCAGUAGCGGCGAGCGAACGGGGAGGAGCCCAGAGCCUGAAUCAGUGUGUGUGUUAGUGGAAGCGUCUGGAAAGGCGCGCGAUACAGGGUGACAGCCCCGUACACAAAAAUGCACAUGCUGUGAGCUCGAUGAGUAGGGCGGGACACGUGGUAUCCUGUCUGAAUAUGGGGGGACCAUCCUCCAAGGCUAAAUACUCCUGACUGACCGAUAGUGAACCAGUACCGUGAGGGAAAGGCGAAAAGAACCCCGGCGAGGGGAGUGAAAAAGAACCUGAAACCGUGUACGUACAAGCAGUGGGAGCACGCUUCGGCGUGUGACUGCGUACCUUUUGUAUAAUGGGUCAGCGACUUAUAUUCUGUAGCAAGGUUAACCGAAUAGGGGAGCCGAAGGGAAACCGAGUCUUAACUGGGCGUUAAGUUGCAGGGUAUAGACCCGAAACCCGGUGAUCUAGCCAUGGGCAGGUUGAAGGUUGGGUAACACUAACUGGAGGACCGAACCGACUAAUGUUGAAAAAUUAGCGGAUGACUUGUGGCUGGGGGUGAAAGGCCAAUCAAACCGGGAGAUAGCUGGUUCUCCCCGAAAGCUAUUUAGGUAGCGCCUCGUGAAUUCAUCUCCGGGGGUAGAGCACUGUUUCGGCAAGGGGGUCAUCCCGACUUACCAACCCGAUGCAAACUGCGAAUACCGGAGAAUGUUAUUACGGGAGACACACGGCGGGUGCUAACGUCCGUCGUGAAGAGGGAAACAACCCAGACCGCCAGCUAAGGUCCCAAAGUCAUGGUUAAGUGGGAAACGAUGUGGGAAGGCCCAGACAGCCAGGAUGUUGGCUUAGAAGCAGCCAUCAUUUAAAGAAAGCGUAAUAGCUCACUGGUCGAGUCGGCCUGCGCGGAAGAUGUAACGGGGCUAAACCAUGCACCGAAGCUGCGGCAGCGACACUAUGUGUUGUUGGGUAGGGGAGCGUUCUGUAAGCCUGUGAAGGUGGCCUGUGAGGGUUGCUGGAGGUAUCAGAAGUGCGAAUGCUGACAUAAGUAACGAUAAAGCGGGUGAAAAGCCCGCUCGCCGGAAGACCAAGGGUUCCUGUCCAACGUUAAUCGGGGCAGGGUGAGUCGACCCCUAAGGCGAGGCCGAAAGGCGUAGUCGAUGGGAAACAGGUUAAUAUUCCUGUACUUGGUGUUACUGCGAAGGGGGGACGGAGAAGGCUAUGUUGGCCGGGCGACGGUUGUCCCGGUUUAAGCGUGUAGGCUGGUUUUCCAGGCAAAUCCGGAAAAUCAAGGCUGAGGCGUGAUGACGAGGCACUACGGUGCUGAAGCAACAAAUGCCCUGCUUCCAGGAAAAGCCUCUAAGCAUCAGGUAACAUCAAAUCGUACCCCAAACCGACACAGGUGGUCAGGUAGAGAAUACCAAGGCGCUUGAGAGAACUCGGGUGAAGGAACUAGGCAAAAUGGUGCCGUAACUUCGGGAGAAGGCACGCUGAUAUGUAGGUGAAGCGACUUGCUCGUGGAGCUGAAAUCAGUCGAAGAUACCAGCUGGCUGCAACUGUUUAUUAAAAACACAGCACUGUGCAAACACGAAAGUGGACGUAUACGGUGUGACGCCUGCCCGGUGCCGGAAGGUUAAUUGAUGGGGUUAGCGGUAACGCGAAGCUCUUGAUCGAAGCCCCGGUAAACGGCGGCCGUAACUAUAACGGUCCUAAGGUAGCGAAAUUCCUUGUCGGGUAAGUUCCGACCUGCACGAAUGGCGUAAUGAUGGCCAGGCUGUCUCCACCCGAGACUCAGUGAAAUUGAACUCGCUGUGAAGAUGCAGUGUACCCGCGGCAAGACGGAAAGACCCCGUGAACCUUUACUAUAGCUUGACACUGAACAUUGAGCCUUGAUGUGUAGGAUAGGUGGGAGGCUUUGAAGUGUGGACGCCAGUCUGCAUGGAGCCGACCUUGAAAUACCACCCUUUAAUGUUUGAUGUUCUAACGUUGGCCCCUGAUCGGGGUUGCGGACAGUGUCUGGUGGGUAGUUUGACUGGGGCGGUCUCCUCCUAAAGAGUAACGGAGGAGCACGAAGGUUGGCUAAUCCUGGUCGGACAUCAGGAGGUUAGUGCAAUGGCAUAAGCCAGCUUGACUGCGAGCGUGACGGCGCGAGCAGGUGCGAAAGCAGGUCAUAGUGAUCCGGUGGUUCUGAAUGGAAGGGCCAUCGCUCAACGGAUAAAAGGUACUCCGGGGAUAACAGGCUGAUACCGCCCAAGAGUUCAUAUCGACGGCGGUGUUUGGCACCUCGAUGUCGGCUCAUCACAUCCUGGGGCUGAAGUAGGUCCCAAGGGUAUGGCUGUUCGCCAUUUAAAGUGGUACGCGAGCUGGGUUUAGAACGUCGUGAGACAGUUCGGUCCCUAUCUGCCGUGGGCGCUGGAGAACUGAGGGGGGCUGCUCCUAGUACGAGAGGACCGGAGUGGACGCAUCACUGGUGUUCGGGUUGUCAUGCCAAUGGCACUGCCCGGUAGCUAAAUGCGGAAGAGAUAAGUGCUGAAAGCAUCUAAGCACGAAACUUGCCCCGAGAUGAGUUCUCCCUGACUCCUUGAGAGUCCUGAAGGAACGUUGAAGACGACGACGUUGAUAGGCCGGGUGUGUAAGCGCAGCGAUGCGUUGAGCUAACCGGUACUAAUGAACCGUGAGGCUUAACCUU